RNAcentral lists this transfer RNA (77 nucleotides) under Pseudomonas sp. HLS-6. RNAcentral's name for it is "tRNA-OTHER". It matches the Rfam family "tRNA". From Rfam's summary of the family: Transfer RNA (tRNA) molecules are approximately 80 nucleotides in length. Their secondary structure includes four short double-helical elements and three loops (D, anti-codon, and T loops). Further hydrogen bonds mediate the characteristic L-shaped molecular structure. tRNAs have two regions of fundamental functional importance: the anti-codon, which is responsible for specific mRNA codon recognition, and the 3' end, to which the tRNAs corresponding amino acid is attached (by aminoacyl-tRNA synthetases). tRNAs cope with the degeneracy of the genetic code in two manners: having more than one tRNA (with a specific anti-codon) for a particular amino acid; and 'wobble' base-pairing, i.e. permitting non-standard base-pairing at the 3rd anti-codon position. The record is from RNAcentral. Lineage: Bacteria; Pseudomonadati; Pseudomonadota; Gammaproteobacteria; Pseudomonadales; Pseudomonadaceae.
GCGUGCGUAAUCUCAACUGGAUAGAGCCCCCGCCAACGGGCGGAAGGAUGCAGGUUCGAAUCCUGCCGUGCGCUCCA